AGAGUUUGAUCCUGGCUCAGGACGAACGCUGGCGGCGUGCUUAACACAUGCAAGUCGAACGAUGAAGCAGAGCUUGCUCUGCCGAUUAGUGGCGAACGGGUGAGGAACACGUGAGAAACCUGCCCCAGACUCUGGGAUAACAAUUAGAAAUGAUUGCUAAUACCGGAUGACGUCGGAGAACCGCAUGGUUCACUGACGAAAGGAAAUCCGGUUUGGGAGGGUCUCGCGACCUAUCAGCUUGUUGGCGGGGUAAUGGCCCACCAAGGCGUCGACGGGUAGCUGGUCUGAGAGGAUGAUCAGCCACACUGGGACUGAGACACGGCCCAGACUCCUACGGGAGGCAGCAGUGGGGAAUCUUGCGCAAUGGGCGAAAGCCUGACGCAGCAACGCCGCGUGCGGGAUGAAGGCCUUCGGGCUGUAAACCGCUUUCAGCAGGAACGACAAUGACGGUACCUGCAGAAGAAGGAGCGGCCAACUACGUGCCAGCAGCCGCGGUGACACGUAGGCUCCAAGCGUAGUCCUGAUUUAUCGGGCGUAAAGAGCUCGUACGCGGUUUAGUAAGUCGGGUGUGGAAACUCUGGGCUUAGCCAGAGACGCCAUCCGAUACUGCUGUGACUUGAGUUCAGGACGGNAGCGGGGAAUUCCUAGCUGUAGCGGUGAAAUGCGCAGAUAUUACGACGAACACCCGGUGGCGAAAGGCGCCGCUCUGGGACUGCAAACUGACGCUGAUGGAGCGAAAGCAUGGGGAUGCAANAUGAUGACAUAUCCUGGUAGUCA
RNAcentral lists this ribosomal RNA (777 nucleotides) under uncultured bacterium. RNAcentral describes it as "bacterial SSU rRNA". It matches the Rfam family "Bacterial small subunit ribosomal RNA", at positions 8 to 797 of the family's 1533-position model. The record is from RNAcentral.